AUCCCAGGCAAACUAUUUUUUGUGUUUUUCUGAUUCAUGGGAGGCAGAGAUCACAUGGUUAUUCGCUGAUAGUACAUCUUCUACUUGAAAGGGUUUGCUUUUAGUACAUAACCAUACAUUU
Molecule: non-coding RNA, 121 nt
Organism: Cucumis sativus (cucumber)
Lineage: Eukaryota; Viridiplantae; Streptophyta; Magnoliopsida; Cucurbitales; Cucurbitaceae
Source: Rfam